GGUCUGAGAGGAUGAUCCGCCACACUGGGACUGAGACACGGCCCAGACUCCUACGGGAGGCAGCAGUGGGGAAUUUUGGACAAUGGGCGCAAGCCUGAUCCAGCCAUGCCGCGUGUCUGAAGAAGGCCUUCGGGUUGUAAAGGACUUUUGUCCGGGAGCAAAUCCCAGUGGUUAAUACCUACUGGGGCUGAGAGUACCGGCAGAAUAAGCACCGGCUAACUACGUGCCAGCAGCCGCGGUAAUACGUAGGGUGCAAGCGUUAAUCGGAAUUACUGGGCGUAAAGCGUGCGCAGGCGGUUGUGCAAGUCUGAUGUGAAAGCCCCGGGCUUAACCUGGGAACGGCAUUGGAGACUG
RNAcentral lists this ribosomal RNA (354 nucleotides) under bacterium LimA-10-J-81. RNAcentral's name for it is "bacterial SSU rRNA". It matches the Rfam family "Bacterial small subunit ribosomal RNA", at positions 289 to 635 of the family's 1533-position model. The record is from RNAcentral.